This is a non-coding RNA of Pelobates cultripes (western spadefoot toad), 284 nucleotides long. Lineage: Eukaryota; Metazoa; Chordata; Amphibia; Anura; Pelobatidae. The record is from the annotation of a GenBank genome assembly.
CUAUUCUCCAGUCCAUAAUUAAAGAUGACCAAACAGGUUUUGUAGCAGGGAGACAUGGUCAAGAUAAUACUGGCAAAUUAUCGCUGGUAAUGGAACGACUUAAGGGAGCUGGCUGAGGCGGACUCCUAUUAGCCCUGGACGCUGAAAAAGCGUUUGACCGCCUCAGCUGGGCCUUCCUAGAACAGGCUUUAACAAAGUACGGAUUCCCCUCCGAGUUCCUGCUCAAAAUCUUAGCACUAUAUUCCGUCUCAACUGCUCGAGUAUUGCAAUUGGGUUUCCUCUCG